Molecule: long non-coding RNA, 387 nt
Organism: Coffea arabica (coffee)
Lineage: Eukaryota; Viridiplantae; Streptophyta; Magnoliopsida; Gentianales; Rubiaceae
Source: RefSeq, a predicted model, not a curated record
AAAUUAAAGAGAUUGGAAUCGGCCAUGGAGAUGAGAAAAUGUUUCGUCACCAUGCUUUUGCUCUUUCUUCUAUUUAUUUCAAACGACGUCGUCAUGGAAGCUGAAGCUGCCGUAUGUUCCAAACCAUCAACAUUUUUUUUCGGUCCUUGCGUUCGUAGAAGCACUUGUAGGCGCGCCUGUUCUCAUGAAAAUUAUCCAGAUGGGAAAUGCUCGAGAUUUCUUGGCAAGUGCAUUUGUUACAAGCCUUGUACAACUUGAAUCAUCGCAAAUUUUGAGAUGUCAAAUCCAAAGUAAUGAAGCAUUGAUAUUGUAAUUAAUGCAAAAUCCUAGUAUCAACUAAGAAGACAUAUCUUUUGCUUCAAUCAUUAAUUUCAGAUACAUUCUUCA